AAAGGGAGACCUAAUUCCGGUAGGAGACGAAAAAAAAGUAGUCCCUACCAAGAAUCAAUCCCAAAAGGUCGGAACGAGGUAUGAGGCUUUCAAACUAGGUUCUGGGUUCAAACAAGACCUGAAUCAGGAACAAGGGCUAUUAGCUCAGGUGGUUAGAGCGCACCCCUGAUAAGGGUGAGGUCCCUGGUUCGAGUCCAGGAUGGCCCACCUGCACAGGUGGCAAAAACAAGAGAAGCUCCGAAUCAGCACCUUAUCUUACUGACAUAGCAAGAGAGAAUGCUGGCUCUGAGUAAAGAGUCCAGAGGAACCUUGAAAACUGCAUAGAGCUAGGUGAAAAAGCCAAAAAAGAAGACCGCAAG
This 359-nucleotide transfer RNA is filed under the name uncultured Microcystis sp. RNAcentral describes it as "partial 16S-23S ribosomal RNA intergenic spacer". The stretch from base 134 to 207 matches the Rfam family "tRNA". Lineage: Bacteria; Bacillati; Cyanobacteriota; Cyanophyceae; Chroococcales; Microcystaceae. The record is from RNAcentral.